Molecule: ribosomal RNA, 454 nt
Filed under: uncultured bacterium
Lineage: Bacteria
Description: bacterial SSU rRNA
Rfam family: Bacterial small subunit ribosomal RNA
Source: RNAcentral
AACGAACGCUGGCGGCAGGCUUAACACAUGCAAGUCGAGCGGGCGCUUUCGGGCGUCAGCGGCGGACGGGUGAGUAACGCGUGGGAACGUGCCCUUUCCUCCGGAAUAGCCUCUGGAAACGGAGAUUAAUGCCGGAUACGCCCUUUUGGGGAAAGAUUUAUCGGGGAAGGAUCGGCCCGCGUCGGAUUAGGUAGUUGGUGGGGUAACGGCCUACCAAGCCGACGAUCCGUAGCUGGUUUGAGAGGAUGACCAGCCACACUGGGACUGAGACACGGCCCAGACUCCUACGGGAGGCAGCAGUGGGGAAUCUUGGACAAUGGGGGCAACCCUGAUCCAGCCAUGCCGCGUGAGCGAUGAAGGCCUUAGGGUUGUAAAGCUCUUUCAGCGGGGAAGAUAAUGACGGUACCCGCAGAAGAAGCCCCGGCUAACUCCGUGCCAGCCGCCGCCGUAAUAC